AAAGACAACUUCAUGGUCAUGUGUGCCCUCAUUAUUCUGUGACAAAUUAAGCAGUUCAAGGUCUGUAGUUGGUUUCAAGUGUUGAAUCUGCAUGUCAGUGCAAAUGAAGGAGACAUUAUUAGGUUUAUUUUGUUUUUCAGCCUAUCAGACUGAAAACUGUAGGAGUGGCCAAGUCAAUGAUUUGGUACAACACCAAAAGGUCUGGAAGACAAAGUGGGUGACAGCAAAAUUCUUUCUUUGGUGAAGAAAAACCUCCUAACAUCGAGCCAAGUCAAGAGUACUCUGAAGUAGGCGAGUGAGACAUCAUCAAAGUCUAAUAUCAAGAGACGCCGAGAUUAUGAAAAGGUGCAGGAAAGGAACCGCUCAAGAUCAGAAAUGCAACAUAGUGGAGGCAGAGCGAUGGCACGAGAACAUUUGGCUGCCAAUGGAACCAAGUCACCGGUGUUUACUGAUGAUGUGACUACUGAUGGAAAAUGAGUAAUCAAUUCUGAAGUGUGUUGGGCUGUAAUACCUGAUGGGAUUCAACCAAAUGCUGUCAAAAUUAUAUGAUGGCGCUUCAAAGUGCAGAUGGAUAAUGAAAGCACUUCUGAAGGUAAAGAAAUGGAAAAUUCUUCAAUUGAAGAGAGAAAAAUCCACAAAAAAGCAGCGACUGAAGGAGGCUGCAAUUAAGGACCAGCAAAGCACCUCAAUGGAGGAAAUUCAGCAUUUGGUGAUGUUGAUGGGUUCCAGCCAGCAAACGAUUUUCUACCGAGUGUUAUCAAUAUUACUUAUAUUUAGAAUUAUGCUACUUUGUCCAAUUUCUUUUGACCUUUAAAAAUGGAAAGACUG
Thalassophryne amazonica is the source of this 828-nucleotide long non-coding RNA. RefSeq lists it as uncharacterized. The record is from RefSeq and is a predicted model, not a curated record. Lineage: Eukaryota; Metazoa; Chordata; Actinopteri; Batrachoidiformes; Batrachoididae. The transcript has 2 exons.